Molecule: ribosomal RNA, 380 nt
Filed under: uncultured Glomeromycotina
Lineage: Eukaryota; Fungi; Glomeromycota
Description: eukaryotic LSU rRNA
Source: RNAcentral
CUAGUGAUUUUGAAAGGGAAACGAUUGAAGUCAGUCGUACCUACGAGUAAUCAACCUACACGAGCGCGAUUUUGUGAGUAUGAGGAGGUAAAAACCUUCAUGCUUGCUAAUUGGUGUUCUUUGGGCGUACUUUCUCGUAUGGUAGGUUAACAUCAAUUUCGAUCGUUAUAAAAUGACGGGAGGAAUGUAGCUUCGACUUCGGUUGAAGUGUUAUAGCCUCUGGUAGAUGUAAUGAUUGGGAUUGAGGAUUGCAACGGAUACCCUCUGGGCUAUUCGUCUGAUCUCUGGAAGUUACCUUGGUGUCGAAAGCGUGCUUAUGACAUUAAGAAUGACGGCCAAAAGGUUAGAACGGAAUUAAAUUCGUUAAGGAUGUUGACGUA